This 61-nucleotide transfer RNA is filed under the name Ictidomys tridecemlineatus (thirteen-lined ground squirrel). RNAcentral describes it as "Spermophilus tridecemlineatus (thirteen-lined ground squirrel) tRNA". It matches the Rfam family "tRNA", at positions 6 to 65 of the family's 71-position model. Rfam says of the family: Transfer RNA (tRNA) molecules are approximately 80 nucleotides in length. The record is from Rfam by way of RNAcentral. RNAcentral also lists the same sequence under 1 other name. Lineage: Eukaryota; Metazoa; Chordata; Mammalia; Rodentia; Sciuridae.
UGUAGCUCAGUGGUAGAACGCUUGCCUAACAAGUAUGACGCCCUGGGUUCAAUCCCUAGCA